GGGUUGUGAGGUUAAGCGACUAAGCGUACACGGUGGAUGCCCUGGCAGUCAGAGGCGAUGAAGGACGUGCUAAUCUGCGAUAAGCGUCGGUAAGGUGAUAUGAACCGUUAUAACCGGCGAUUUCCGAAUGGGGAAACCCAGUGUGUUUCGACACACUAUCAUUAACUGAAUCCAUAGGUUAAUGAGGCGAACCGGGGGAACUGAAACAUCUAAGUACCCCGAGGAAAAGAAAUCAACCGAGAUUCCCCCAGUAGCGGCGAGCGAACGGGGAGCAGCCCAGAGCCUGAAUCAGUGUGUGUGUUAGUGGAAGCGUCUGGAAAGGCGCGCGAUACAGGGUGACAGCCCCGUACACAAAAAUGCACAUACUGUGAGCUCGAUGAGUAGGGCGGGACACGUGGUAUCCUGUCUGAAUAUGGGGGGACCAUCCUCCAAGGCUAAAUACUCCUGACUGACCGAUAGUGAACCAGUACCGUGAGGGAAAGGCGAAAAGAACCCCGGCGAGGGGAGUGAAAAAGAACCUGAAACCGUGUACGUACAAGCAGUGGGAGCCUCUUUUAUGGGGUGACUGCGUACCUUUUGUAUAAUGGGUCAGCGACUUAUAUUCUGUAGCAAGGUUAACCGAAUAGGGGAGCCGAAGGGAAACCGAGUCUUAACCGGGCGUUAAGUUGCAGGGUAUAGACCCGAAACCCGGUGAUCUAGCCAUGGGCAGGUUGAAGGUUGGGUAACACUAACUGGAGGACCGAACCGACUAAUGUUGAAAAAUUAGCGGAUGACUUGUGGCUGGGGGUGAAAGGCCAAUCAAACCGGGAGAUAGCUGGUUCUCCCCGAAAGCUAUUUAGGUAGCGCCUCGUGAAUUCAUCUCCGGGGGUAGAGCACUGUUUCGGCAAGGGGGUCAUCCCGACUUACCAACCCGAUGCAAACUGCGAAUACCGGAGAAUGUUAUCACGGGAGACACACGGCGGGUGCUAACGUCCGUCGUGAAGAGGGAAACAACCCAGACCGCCAGCUAAGGUCCCAAAGUCAUGGUUAAGUGGGAAACGAUGUGGGAAGGCCCAGACAGCCAGGAUGUUGGCUUAGAAGCAGCCAUCAUUUAAAGAAAGCGUAAUAGCUCACUGGUCGAGUCGGCCUGCGCGGAAGAUGUAACGGGGCUAAACCAUGCACCGAAGCUGCGGCAGCGACACUGUGUGUUGUUGGGUAGGGGAGCGUUCUGUAAGCCUGUGAAGGUGUACUGUAAGGUAUGCUGGAGGUAUCAGAAGUGCGAAUGCUGACAUAAGUAACGAUAAAGCGGGUGAAAAGCCCGCUCGCCGGAAGACCAAGGGUUCCUGUCCAACGUUAAUCGGGGCAGGGUGAGUCGACCCCUAAGGCGAGGCCGAAAGGCGUAGUCGAUGGGAAACAGGUUAAUAUUCCUGUACUUGGUGUUACUGCGAAGGGGGGACGGAGAAGGCUAUGUUGGCCGGGCGACGGUUGUCCCGGUUUAAGCGUGUAGGCUGGUUUUCCAGGCAAAUCCGGAAAAUCAAGGCUGAGGCGUGAUGACGAGGCACUACGGUGCUGAAGCAACAAAUGCCCUGCUUCCAGGAAAAGCCUCUAAGCAUCAGGUAACAUCAAAUCGUACCCCAAACCGACACAGGUGGUCAGGUAGAGAAUACCAAGGCGCUUGAGAGAACUCGGGUGAAGGAACUAGGCAAAAUGGUGCCGUAACUUCGGGAGAAGGCACGCUGAUAUGUAGGUGAAGUCCCUCGCGGAUGGAGCUGAAAUCAGUCGAAGAUACCAGCUGGCUGCAACUGUUUAUUAAAAACACAGCACUGUGCAAACACGAAAGUGGACGUAUACGGUGUGACGCCUGCCCGGUGCCGGAAGGUUAAUUGAUGGGGUCAGCGCAAGCGAAGCUCUUGAUCGAAGCCCCGGUAAACGGCGGCCGUAACUAUAACGGUCCUAAGGUAGCGAAAUUCCUUGUCGGGUAAGUUCCGACCUGCACGAAUGGCGUAAUGAUGGCCAGGCUGUCUCCACCCGAGACUCAGUGAAAUUGAACUCGCUGUGAAGAUGCAGUGUACCCGCGGCAAGACGGAAAGACCCCGUGAACCUUUACUAUAGCUUGACACUGAACAUUGAGCCUUGAUGUGUAGGAUAGGUGGGAGGCUUUGAAGUGUGGACGCCAGUCUGCAUGGAGCCGACCUUGAAAUACCACCCUUUAAUGUUUGAUGUUCUAACGUGGACCCGUGAUCCGGGUUGCGGACAGUGUCUGGUGGGUAGUUUGACUGGGGCGGUCUCCUCCUAAAGAGUAACGGAGGAGCACGAAGGUUGGCUAAUCUUGGUCGGACAUCAGGAGGUUAGUGCAAUGGCAUAAGCCAGCUUGACUGCGAGCGUGACGGCGCGAGCAGGUGCGAAAGCAGGUCAUAGUGAUCCGGUGGUUCUGAAUGGAAGGGCCAUCGCUCAACGGAUAAAAGGUACUCCGGGGAUAACAGGCUGAUACCGCCCAAGAGUUCAUAUCGACGGCGGUGUUUGGCACCUCGAUGUCGGCUCAUCACAUCCUGGGGCUGAAGUAGGUCCCAAGGGUAUGGCUGUUCGCCAUUUAAAGUGGUACGCGAGCUGGGUUUAGAACGUCGUGAGACAGUUCGGUCCCUAUCUGCCGUGGGCGCUGGAGAACUGAGGGGGGCUGCUCCUAGUACGAGAGGACCGGAGUGGACGCAUCACUGGUGUUCGGGUUGUCAUGCCAAUGGCACUGCCCGGUAGCUAAAUGCGGAAGAGAUAAGUGCUGAAAGCAUCUAAGCACGAAACUUGCCCCGAGAUGAGUUCUCCCUGACCCUUUAAGGGUCCUGAAGGAACGUUGAAGACGACGACGUUGAUAGGCCGGGUGUGUAAGCGCAGCGAUGCGUUGAGCUAACCGGUACUAAUGAACCGUGAGGCUUAACCUUACAACGCCGAAGGUGUUU
This 2930-nucleotide ribosomal RNA is filed under the name Escherichia coli O157:H7. RNAcentral describes it as "23S ribosomal RNA". It matches the Rfam family "Bacterial large subunit ribosomal RNA". The record is from RNAcentral. Lineage: Bacteria; Pseudomonadati; Pseudomonadota; Gammaproteobacteria; Enterobacterales; Enterobacteriaceae.